GUACGGGAGGCAGCAGUGGGGAAUAUUGGACAAUGGGCGCAAGCCUGAUCCAGCCAUGCCGCGUGAGUGAUGAAGGCCCUAGGGUUGUAAAGCUCUUUUGUGCGGGAAGAUAAUGACGGUACCGCAAGAAUAAGCCCCGGCUAACUUCGUGCCAGCAGCCGCGGUAAUACGAAGGGGGCUAGCGUUGCUCGGAAUCACUGGGCGUAAAGGGUGCGUAGGCGGGUCUUUAAGUCAGGGGUGAAAUCCUGGAGCUCAACUCCAGAACUGCCUUUGAUACUGAAGAUCUUGAGUUCGGGAGAGGUGAGUGGAACUGCGAGUGUAGAGGUGAAAUUCGUAGAUAUUCGCAAGAACACCAGUGGCGAAGGCGGCUCACUGGCCCGAUACUGACGCUGAGGCACGAAAGCGUGGGGAGCAAACAGGAUUAGAUACCCUGGUAGUCC
RNAcentral lists this ribosomal RNA (440 nucleotides) under uncultured bacterium. RNAcentral's name for it is "bacterial SSU rRNA". It matches the Rfam family "Bacterial small subunit ribosomal RNA", at positions 339 to 796 of the family's 1533-position model. The record is from RNAcentral.